UAGGGAAUAUUGGGCAAUGGAGGCAACUCUGACCCAGCAACGCCGCGUGAAUGAAGAAGGUUUUCGGAUUGUAAAGUUCUGUUCUAAGGGAAGAAAAAAAUGACGGUACCUUAGAAGAAAGCCACGGCAAACUACGUGCCAGCAGCCGCGGUAAUACGUAGGUGGCAAGCGUUGUCCGGAAUAACUGGGCGUAAAGGGAGUGUAGGUGGUUGGAUAAGUUAAAUGUGAAAUCCUGGGGCUUAACCCCAGAACUGCAUUUAAUACUGUUUGGCUAGAGUGCAGGAGAGGAUAGCGGAAUUCCUAGUGUAGCGGUAGAAUGCGUAGAUAUUAGGAGGAACAACGGAGGCGAAGGCGGCUAUCUGGACUGUAACUGACACUGAAACUCGAAAGCGUGGGGAGCAAACA
Molecule: ribosomal RNA, 405 nt
Filed under: uncultured Bacillota bacterium
Lineage: Bacteria; Bacillati; Bacillota
Description: uncultured Firmicutes bacterium partial 16S ribosomal RNA
Rfam family: Bacterial small subunit ribosomal RNA
Source: RNAcentral